This 460-nucleotide ribosomal RNA is filed under the name uncultured bacterium. Its description in RNAcentral is "partial 16S ribosomal RNA". It matches the Rfam family "Bacterial small subunit ribosomal RNA", at positions 338 to 795 of the family's 1533-position model. The record is from RNAcentral.
CCUACGGGAGGCAGCAGUGAGGAAUAUUGGUCAAUGGACGAGAGUCUGAACCAGCCAAGUAGCGUGAAGGAUGACUGCCCUAUGGGUUGUAAACUUCUUUUAUAUGGGAAUAAAACGUUCCACGUGUGGGAUUUUGUAUGUACCAUAUGAAUAAGGAUCGGCUAACUCCGUGCCAGCAGCCGCGGUAAUACGGAGGAUCCGGGCGUUAUCCGGAUUUAUUGGGUUUAAAGGGAGCGUAGGUGGAUUGUUAAGUCAGUUGUGAAAGUUUGCGGCUCAACCGUAAAAUUGCAGUUGAAACUGGCAGUCUUGAGUACAGUAGAGGUGGGCGGAAUUCGUGGUGUAGCGGUGAAAUGCUUAGAUAUCACGAAGAACUCCGAUUGCGAAGGCAGUUCACUGGACUGCAACUGACACUGAGGCUCGAAAGUGUGGGUAUCAAACAGGAUUAGAUACCCUUGUAGUC